UGGGAAAUCAUGUCAUGUUAAGCUGGAAA
Molecule: non-coding RNA, 29 nt
Filed under: Mus musculus (house mouse)
Lineage: Eukaryota; Metazoa; Chordata; Mammalia; Rodentia; Muridae
Source: RNAcentral